AUUUUCUUAUAUUGGUGGGUAUUAAAUCGGAUAUUCCAAACCCUAAUAUAGGCUUAAACCAAAUUGGAUUGAUGCAAUAAUUAAAUAAAUCAUUAGGUAAAUCACCAACAUCACUCCUACAAUUAGGUAAAUCGACGUUUAAUUGGACAAUUAAAGCAACAGAAAAUCCUUUCAAAGUAGUCAUCACAUACAAAACAUUGUAGUCAAAGUAAAUACGUGUAAUAGAUUAAGAGCAAAAAAAACAACACAAUUAUUACAUGCUCAAAUAAAAA
RNAcentral lists this long non-coding RNA (272 nucleotides) under Musa acuminata (dwarf banana). RNAcentral's name for it is "long non-coding RNA (MACU_LNC004224)". The record is from RNAcentral. Lineage: Eukaryota; Viridiplantae; Streptophyta; Magnoliopsida; Zingiberales; Musaceae.